AUUGAACGCUGGCGGCAGGCCUAACACAUGCAAGUCGAGCGGAUGAAGGGAGCUUGCUCCUGGAUUCAGCGGCGGACGGAUGAGUAAUGCCUAGGAAUCUGCCUGGUAGUGGGGGAUAACGUCCGGAAACGGGCGCUAAUACCGCAUACGUCCUGAGGGAGAAAGUGGGGGAUCUUCGGACCUCACGCUAUCAGAUGAGCCUAGGUCGGAUUAGCUAGUUGGUGGGGUAAAGGCCUACCAAGGCGACGAUCCGUAACUGGUCUGUGAGGAUGAUCAGUCACACUGGAACUGAGACACGGUCCAGACUCCUACGGGAGGCAGCAGUGGGGAAUAUUGGACAAUGGGCGAAAGCCUGAUCCAGCCAUGCCGCGUGUGUGAAGAAGGUCUUCGGAUUGUAAAGCACUUUAAGUUGGGAGGAAGGGCAGUAAGUUAAUACCUUGCUGUUUUGACGUUACCAACAGAAUAAGCACCGGCUAACUUCGUG
This 484-nucleotide ribosomal RNA is filed under the name uncultured bacterium. Its description in RNAcentral is "partial 16S ribosomal RNA". It matches the Rfam family "Bacterial small subunit ribosomal RNA", at positions 30 to 507 of the family's 1533-position model. The record is from RNAcentral.